Myotis lucifugus (little brown bat) is the source of this 1273-nucleotide long non-coding RNA. RefSeq lists it as uncharacterized. Lineage: Eukaryota; Metazoa; Chordata; Mammalia; Chiroptera; Vespertilionidae. The transcript is spliced from 2 exons. The record is from RefSeq and is a predicted model, not a curated record.
UGCUGCACCAAUUUACAUUCCCAUUAACAGUGCACAAGGGUUCCCUUUCUUCCACAUGCCACAUCCUCACCAGCACAUGUUAUUUCUUGUCCUUUUUGUAUCACUCCUCCUGCAUUUAUUAAUUGGAAUUCUGUCUGUAAAAAACUCACCCUCAUGGACUAUCUGAGUCUCCUGAAAUUUAGAUUCUGCAGGAAAGACAGGGAAAAGGCUUAAUUUUUUUUCCUUUAAUCAAUUUUCUGAAUAAUGAUUGUGCUCUAACAACCUCCCAUGAUAAUCAAUGUUUCUCUUUUUAAUGUAUCAUUAAGAACUGUGGAUCUUAAUGUAUUUGCUUCAGUCCAUUGCAGUCAAUAUUCUUUCUGAUGCUCAAUUUGCCCUCGUCUCCUGUAUACUGUUACGAAGGCCCCACUGGUGCCUGAUACUUUCUUGCUUUCUGGUACAAGAUAUUCGAAGCUUAUCUUGUCCAUUCCGGGCUUCAGACCUGAAGUCAGCCAUUUUCCCAAGGAGAACUAAUUCUUUUUACUGAAAACCAUUUAUCUCCCCUGAUUUUUGCUCCUCUUAGUAGUUAUAUUAUUUUUACCUUGGUCUUAAGCCUUUCAUCUUAAGUGUUUGUUUCUUUUAAAUCCUUCUCAUCAGGCUGUGUCUAAGACCGUCAUUUUCUCCCUCUAAUAAAAUAGCUGGUGAUGACCAUCCCCUCCGUCUGUAUUUCCUGCCAGAGCCUUGGCUCUGACUUUUUCUGAGCUUUGGCCUCUGAGAUCUUUUCUGCGGUGCUCUGCCACCUUCUUCAGCUCCUGGAAAUCUGUUCAUUUCCAGCAGCCAGAGGGCUCACCGAUGUGCCACGUUGUUCCCAAAGCCCAGCCGUGAUUCUCAGGCUUUGGACUGGCUUCUCUCCCCGACCUCUUCCCCGUCCACCCUUCCCUCGGGCAGGGUCCCUGACCUGGCUGGUGAGGCUGGAGAGACUGGCCGAACUGCUGCUGGCUCUGUGCUGACAUCCUCUCAUUUCCAUCUGCGUCACUACCCGGAAGAUUCCCUCUCCAAGAGGAACAAGGUAGCCUAUCGCCCUGUCCAGGGUGAAGCGCGUUACCUGGGACUUCAUCCCUCCUCUGCCAGAAAGGAAAUUGAGAUGCAGAGAAGAGAAGCAAAGUUGCCUGAGAUCAUCCUUUAAGUGGAGGAGCCAGGAUUUGAACCCGAGAAAACAGGCUCCAUAUGAAAAGGUCUACCUCUCCUGCUGUAUCUUCUCUCUAAAUAAAAUAUGUAUUUCCUGAUUGCAGUCUUA